GAUGAACGCUGGCGGCGUGCCUAAUACAUGCAAGUCGAGCGAACAGACGAGGAGCUUGCUCCUCUGACGUUAGCGGCGGACGGGUGAGUAACACGUGGAUAACCUACCUCUAAGACUGGGAUAACUUCGGGAAACCGGAGCUAAUACCGGAUAAUAUAUUGAACCGCAUGGUUCAAUAGUGAAAGACGGUUUUGCUGUCACUUAUAGAUGGAUCCGCGCCGCAUUAGCUAGUUGGUAAGGUAACGGCUUACCAAGGCGACGAUGCGUAGCCGACCUGAGAGGGUGAUCGGCCACACUGGAACUGAGACACGGUCCAGACUCCUACGGGAGGCAGCAGUGGGGAAUCUUGGGCAAUGGGCGAAAGCCUGACGGAGCAACGCCGCGUGAGUGAAGAAGGUCUUCGGAUUGUAAAGCCCUUUUGUUAGGGAAGAACAACUGCGGAAGAAAACCCGCACGUUUUGACGGUACCUAAAGAGUAAGCACCGGCUAACUACGUG
Molecule: ribosomal RNA, 497 nt
Filed under: uncultured bacterium
Lineage: Bacteria
Description: partial 16S ribosomal RNA
Rfam family: Bacterial small subunit ribosomal RNA
Source: RNAcentral